This 527-nucleotide long non-coding RNA is filed under the name Phoenix dactylifera (date palm). Its description in RNAcentral is "long non-coding RNA (PDAC_LNC022419)". Lineage: Eukaryota; Viridiplantae; Streptophyta; Magnoliopsida; Arecales; Arecaceae. The record is from RNAcentral.
CUUCUUCUUCUUCUUCUUCCGGCUGGGUGCUUUUCCUUGCAUUGAUUUCCGUGCCUGAUUUGUGAACCAGAUCUUGGACCGGGUUCAAACUGUGAACCGGUUUCACCUAUGCUGUGAAUAGGGUUUGAUCCGAGUUGGAGUAAAUGGGUUCUAAUUAGGGACUGAAUCUGAGUCAAGAAUUUGGGUUGGGGAAUCUGUGUUGGGCUGAGUUGAACCUCAUUGGAUCUGUGGGCUGGUUUGGUAUGGGCCUGAGAUCUGAUCUGGACCUGAAUUUGGUUUGGUUCAAUUGGGCCUAAUCUGUUUUGGGCUACAAUUGGUUUUGGGUUUAAAGGAUCCUGAUUUUUGGGGUUUUGGUUUACCUGUUCUUAGGGUCUAUGUCUGAUCUUAGGGGCCCAUUCUUGGAUCCAUGAACUUAGAAAUUUAAGGGAUUGGGAAUAAUUUAAAUUAUGUUUCUUAGUUAAUUAAAUAAUUAAUAUUUAUGUUUAACCAGGGGUUCGUGAUAUAUGUGGCAGGGAUUUUUAAGCGAG